This 448-nucleotide ribosomal RNA is filed under the name uncultured bacterium. RNAcentral describes it as "bacterial SSU rRNA". It matches the Rfam family "Bacterial small subunit ribosomal RNA", at positions 29 to 524 of the family's 1533-position model. The record is from RNAcentral.
AACGAACGCUGGCGGCAUGCCUAACACAUGCAAGUCGAACGAGACCUUCGGGUCUAGUGGCGCACGGGUGCGUAACGCGUGGGAAUCUGCCCUGGGGUGCGGAAUAACUCGGAGAAAUCCGUGCUAAUACCGCAUAAUGUCUUCGGACCAAAGAUUUAUCGCCCUGGGAUGAGCCCGCGUAGGAUUAGCUAGUUGGUGGGUAAAGGCCUACCAAGGCGACGAUCCUUAGCUGGUCUGAGAGGAUGAUCAGCCACACUGGGACUGAGACACGGCCCAGACUCCUACGGGAGGCAGCAGUGGGGAAUAUUGGACAAUGGGCGAAAGCCUGAUCCAGCAAUGCCGCGUGAGUGAUGAAGGCCCUAGGGUGUAAAGCUCUUUUACCCGGGAUGAUAAUGACAGUACCGGGAGAAUAAGCUCCGGCUAACUCCGUGCCAGCAGCCGCGGUAAU